GUCUUUUUGGUUAUUUAAUAUAAAGUCUGACCUGCCCACUGAAUUUAUUUUGAAGGGCCGCAGUAUUUUGACUGUGCAAAGGUAGCAUAAUCAUUAGUCUUUUAAUUGAAGGCUGGUAUGAAUGGUUGGAUGAGGUACAAGCUGUGUCAUAAAAAUUAACGUUUGAAUUUACCUUUUUAGUCAAAAGGCUAAAAUGAAAUUAAAAGACGAGAAGACCCUAUAGAGCUUUAUAUAAUUUAUAUUUAAAUUAUUUAGAUUUUUUAAAUUUAAUUAUUUUAUUAUAUUUUGUUGGGGUGACAAUAAAAUUUAUAAAACUUUUAUUUUUAGUUAACAUUUAUAUAUGGUUAUAUGAUCCAGUUUUAUUGAUUAUAAAUUUAAGUUACCUUAGGGAUAACAGCGUAAUUUUUUUUGAGAGUUCUUAUCGACAAAAAAGAUUGCGACCUCGAUGUUGGAUUAAGAGUAAUUUUGGGUGUAGAAGUUCAAAGUUUAAGUCUGUUCGACUUUUAAAUUCUUACAU
RNAcentral lists this ribosomal RNA (517 nucleotides) under Simulium nigrogilvum. RNAcentral describes it as "partial 16S ribosomal RNA". It matches the Rfam family "Bacterial large subunit ribosomal RNA", at positions 1825 to 2601 of the family's 2925-position model. The record is from RNAcentral. Lineage: Eukaryota; Metazoa; Arthropoda; Insecta; Diptera; Simuliidae.